RNAcentral lists this ribosomal RNA (454 nucleotides) under uncultured Klebsiella sp. RNAcentral describes it as "bacterial SSU rRNA". It matches the Rfam family "Bacterial small subunit ribosomal RNA", at positions 77 to 525 of the family's 1533-position model. Lineage: Bacteria; Pseudomonadati; Pseudomonadota; Gammaproteobacteria; Enterobacterales; Enterobacteriaceae. The record is from RNAcentral.
AGCUUGCUCUCGGGUGACGAGUGGCGGACGGGUGAGUAAUGUCUGGGAAACUGCCUGAUGGAGGGGGAUAACUACUGGAAACGGUAGCUAAUACCGCAUAACGUCGCAAGACCAAAGAGGGGGACCUUCGGGCCUCUUGCCAUCAGAUGUGCCCAGAUGGGAUUAGCUAGUAGGUGGGGUAACGGCUCACCUAGGCGACGAUCCCUAGCUGGUCUGAGAGGAUGACCAGCCACACUGGAACUGAGACACGGUCCAGACUCCUACGGGAGGCAGCAGUGGGGAAUAUUGCACAAUGGGCGCAAGCCUGAUGCAGCCAUGCCGCGUGUAUGAAGAAGGCCUUCGGGUUGUAAAGUACUUUCAGCGGGGAGGAAGGUGUUGUGGUUAAUAACCUUGUCGAUUGACGUUACCCGCAGAAGAAGCACCGGCUAACUCCGUGCCAGCAGCCGCGGUAAUA